UCUGUCCUUAGGAAGCAUUUUGGAGGGAAAUGUGAGUCAGCCCUAUACACUGAGAAACUUUUUUACGUGUUGCUCUUUUCAUGUCCAAACAGAUUCUUUACUAAUUAAACAUAGAAUCUGGUGCAUCUUCUUCCUGUUUGCUAAAAAUGCCUACUUCUUUCCUUCUCACAUAGAAAUCCCAUCAGAUAUUAAGCAUUCUAGAGGUGAAGCCAGCUGGGCUUCUGGGUCGGGUGGGGACUUGGAGAACUUUUCUGUCUAGCUAAAGGUUUGUAAAUGCACCUGUCAG
This 286-nucleotide long non-coding RNA is filed under the name Pan troglodytes (chimpanzee). Its description in RNAcentral is "long non-coding RNA NONPTRT013674". Lineage: Eukaryota; Metazoa; Chordata; Mammalia; Primates; Hominidae. The record is from RNAcentral.